RNAcentral lists this ribosomal RNA (455 nucleotides) under uncultured bacterium. Its description in RNAcentral is "bacterial SSU rRNA". It matches the Rfam family "Bacterial small subunit ribosomal RNA", at positions 29 to 531 of the family's 1533-position model. The record is from RNAcentral.
AACGAACGCUGGCGGCAGGCUUAACACAUGCAAGUCGAGCGCGUAGCAAUACGAGCGGCAGACGGGUGAGUAACGCGUGGGAAUCUACCCAACCCUACGGAAUAACGCAUGGAAACGUGUGCUAAUACCGUAUACGCCCUUAGGGGGAAGAUUUAUCGGGGAUGGAUGAGCCCGCGUUGGAUUAGCUAGUUGGUGGGGUAAAGGCCUACCAAGGCGACGAUCCAUAGCUGGUCUGAGAGGAUGAUCAGCCACAUUGGGACUGAGACACGGCCCAAACUCCUACGGGAGGCAGCAGUGGGGAAUAUUGGACAAUGGGCGCAAGCCUGAUCCAGCCAUGCCGCGUGAGUGAUGAAGGCCCUAGGGUUGUAAAGCUCUUUCACCGGUGAAGAUAAUAGACGGUAACCGGAGAAGAAGCCCGGCUAACCUUCGUGCCAGCAGCCGCGGUAAGUAGACGU